This 74-nucleotide transfer RNA is filed under the name Candidatus Woesearchaeota archaeon. Its description in RNAcentral is "tRNA-Pro". It matches the Rfam family "tRNA". Rfam says of the family: Transfer RNA (tRNA) molecules are approximately 80 nucleotides in length. The record is from RNAcentral. Lineage: Archaea; Nanobdellati; Candidatus Woesearchaeota.
GGGGCCGUAGUGUAACUUGGUUAUCACAUUAGCUCGGGGGGCUAGUAAUCGGAGUUCAAAUCUCCGCGGUCCCA